CCCGCACAAGCGGUGGAGCAUGUGGUUUAAUUCGAUGCAACGCGAAGAACCUUACCUGGGCUUGACAUCCCGGGAAUCCCUUGGAAACAAGGGAGUGCCCUUCGGGGAACCUGGAGACAGGUGCUGCAUGGCUGUCGUCAGCUCGUGUCGUGAGAUGUAGGGUUAAGUCCCGCAACGAGCGCAACCCUUGUCUUUAAUUGCCAUCAUUGAGUUGGGCACUUUAAAGAGACUGCCGGUGUUAAACCGGAGGAAGUGGGAUGACGUCAAAUCAUCAUGCCCCUUAUGACCUGGGCUACACACGUGCUACAAUGGUUGGUACAACGAGUUGCGAGUCGGUGACGGCGAGCUAAUCUCUUAAAGCCAAUCUCAGUUCGGAUUGUAGGCUGCAACUCGCCUACAUGAAGUCGGAAUCGCUAGUAAUCGCGGAUCAGCACGCCGCGGUGAAUACGUUCCCGGGCCUU
Molecule: ribosomal RNA, 461 nt
Filed under: uncultured Syntrophus sp.
Lineage: Bacteria; Pseudomonadati; Thermodesulfobacteriota; Syntrophia; Syntrophales; Syntrophaceae
Description: bacterial SSU rRNA
Rfam family: Bacterial small subunit ribosomal RNA
Source: RNAcentral